This 447-nucleotide ribosomal RNA is filed under the name uncultured bacterium. RNAcentral's name for it is "bacterial SSU rRNA". It matches the Rfam family "Bacterial small subunit ribosomal RNA", at positions 355 to 825 of the family's 1533-position model. The record is from RNAcentral.
UGGGGAAUCUUGGACAAUGGGCGCAAGCCUGAUCCAGCCAUGCCGCGUGAGUGAAGAGGGCCUUCGGGUUGUAAAGCUCUUUUACCAGGGACGAUAAUGACGGUACCCGCAGAAUAAGCCCCGGCUAACUUCGUGCCAGCAGCCGCGGUAAUACGAAGGGGGCUAGCGUUGUUCGGAAUUACUGGGCGUAAAGCGCACGUAGGCGGACUGAUAAGUCAGGGGUGAAAUCCCGGGGCUCAACCUCGGAACUGCCUUUGAUACUGUUAGUCUCGAGUCCGGAAGAGGUGAGUGGAAUUCCUAGUGUAGAGGUGAAAUUCGUAGAUAUUAGGAAGAACACCAGUGGCGAAGGCGGCUCACUGGUCCGGUACUGACGCUGAGGUGCGAAAGCGUGGGGAGCAAACAGGAUUAGAUACCCUUGUAGUCCCUGAGCGGGCUGGCAAGGCGCAU